This 576-nucleotide ribosomal RNA is filed under the name uncultured eukaryote. RNAcentral describes it as "SSU rRNA". It matches the Rfam family "Eukaryotic small subunit ribosomal RNA", at positions 174 to 758 of the family's 1831-position model. The record is from RNAcentral.
UAAAAACCCCGACUUCGGAAGGGGUGUAUUUAUUAGAUACAAAACCAAUGCCCUUCGGGGCUCUUUGGUGAUUCAUGAUAACUAUACGAAUCGCACGGCCUUGCGCCGGCGAUGGUUCAUUCAAAUUUCUUCCCUAUCAACUUUCGAUGUUUGGGUAUUGGCCAAACAUGGUUGCAACGGGUAACGGAGGGUUAGGGCUCGACCCCGGAGAAGGAGCCUGAGAAACGGCUACUACAUCCAAGGAAGGCAGCAGGCGCGCAAAUUACCCAAUCCCGACUCGGGGAGGUAGUGACAAUAAAUACUGAUACAGGGCCCUUUCGGGCCUUGUAAUUGGAAUGAGUACAAUUUAAAUCCCUUAACGAGGAACAAUUGGAGGGCAAGUCUGGUGCCAGCAGCCGCGGUAAUUCCAGCUCCAAUAGCGUAUAUUAAAGUUGUUGUGGUUAAAAAGCUCGUAGUUGAACCUUGGGCCUGGCUGGCCGGUCCGCCUCACCGCGUGCACUGGUCCGGCCGGGCCUCUCCCUCUGUGGAACCCCAUACCCUUCACUGGGCGUGGCGGGGAAACAGGACAUUUACUUU